Molecule: ribosomal RNA, 305 nt
Filed under: uncultured bacterium
Lineage: Bacteria
Description: bacterial SSU rRNA
Rfam family: Bacterial small subunit ribosomal RNA
Source: RNAcentral
GCCUGCCUACGGGGGGCAGCAGUGAGGGAUAUUGGUCAAUGGGGGAACCCCUGAACCAGCAACGCCGCGUGAGGGAAGACGGUUUUCGGAUUGUAAACCUCUGUCCUCUGUGAAGAUAAUGACGGUAGCAGAGGAGGAAGCUCCGGCUAACUACGUGCCAGCAGCCGCGGUAAUACGUAGGGAGCGAGCGUUGUCCGGAUUUACUGGGUGUAAAGGGUGCGUAGGCGGGUAAGCAAGUCAGAAGUGAAAUCCAUGGGCUUAACCCAUGAACUGCUUUUGAAACUGUUUAUCUUGAGGGAAGGAGG